CAAUAGCGUAUAUUAAAGUUGUUGCGGUUAAAAAGCUCGUAGUUGGAUUUCUGCCGAGGACGACCGGUCCGCCCUCUGGGUGAGCAUCUGGGACGGCCUGGGCAUCCUCUUGGGGAACGUAGCUGCACUUGACUGUGUGGUGCGGUAUCCAGGACUUUUACUUUGAGGAAAUUAGAGUGUUUCAAGCAGGCGCACGCCUUGAAUACAUUAGCAUGGAAUAAUAAGAUAGGACCUCGGUUCUAUUUUGUUGGUUUCUAGAGCUGAGGUAAUGAUUAAUAGGGACAGUUGGGGGUAUUCGUAUUUCGUUGUCAGAGGUGAAAUUCUUGGAUUUCCGAAAGACGAACUACUGCGAAAGCAUUUACCAAGGAUGUUUUCAUUAAUCAAGAACGAAAGUUAGGGGAUCGAAGACGAUUAGAUACCAU
RNAcentral lists this ribosomal RNA (422 nucleotides) under uncultured eukaryote. RNAcentral's name for it is "SSU rRNA". It matches the Rfam family "Eukaryotic small subunit ribosomal RNA", at positions 592 to 1018 of the family's 1831-position model. The record is from RNAcentral.